This 207-nucleotide long non-coding RNA is filed under the name Physcomitrium patens. Its description in RNAcentral is "long non-coding RNA (PPAT_LNC014088)". The record is from RNAcentral. Lineage: Eukaryota; Viridiplantae; Streptophyta; Bryopsida; Funariales; Funariaceae.
GAUAAAAGCAAUUGAACCUGAGUAAUAUAAUUUGUAUAACUAUUACAAUGGCUAUGUAAGUUUUUUAGUGUCUUACAUAUAGUGGAUGCCAUAGUCUUUGUAAUUGUUAGGACAUGUAUAGCAGACACAACUACAAUUUUUUCAAUUGUGCAAAACAUAUAAAUAUCUAGAGCAUUAGAACUUAUUCUAAUUCAAGAAGUCACGUAA